UCUUGCAAUAUUUUUUAUGUCGUGUUUAAUAUUAUUAUCUUGAAUCUCAAAUCAAAAACGUGAAUUAAUUUGAAUAAAAUCAAAUAUAGUACACUAUUGGGUUGAGAAUCUUUCGAUGCCAUAGAAAUCGUGGUUACAUUUGCGAAAUGUAUCGGGAAAGUGUUAUAUUUCGUGUAAAUCGUUGAAAGUGAUUUAAAUACGACGUGUAGAGUGUGAAGUGCAAUCAAAAGUGCAAAUAUUGGAACAUUGGAUUGAAAUUUGAGAUUCAUGGAUGUCAACAAAGUCUACGGAGAGCACUAUUAAAUGAAAACGAUCGACGAAGACAAAUAUUGCAGUAUUCCGGUUGCUGCGUCAUGAAACGGCAGUUAUCGCUAUCUUUGGACGUAAGAGAGAUCAUGGUACUGAAGUCACGCGAUAGGGCAGCUAUCAUCAUGCCACAACUAUGGGACUGGUUGAAAGUCACGAGACUAGGUAUGCUUAUUAAAUUUUUAUUGUACCACGUAAUAAUAAUAAUAAUAUUAAUAAUAAUAAUCAUGAUCAUCAUCGCAAUAAUAAAUUGUGAUAAUAAUGACAAUAAUAAAUGGUAGUAAUAAUAAUAAUAAUAAUCAUUUAUCGUCGUAAUAAUAAUAGUUUCGUAAUAAUAAUAAUAAUAAUGAUACUUCAUCAUCGUUGGUAAUAAUCCAAUGACAAAUGUCAAUAUUUAUAUAGUAGCGUGUCGAACGGAGAAACGACCUUAAAAAACGAAGACAGUAUCAAUGUUCGUUCGUACAUUUUGUUUUUUUAGCUUCCGCCGUUUUUUUUUCUUCUCGCUCGCUCUCUUAGGAUCUCUCUUCUACCUCUCGCUCUCGCAUCUUCCACACGCGCAUUCUCACUCGACUUCGCUUCCUCUUUUAUUGAAUCUUUUUUUUUCGCUUUUAAUCUCCCCUUUUCUCUCACACACACGCACACUUUCUCCCUCUGUCUCGUCUCUUACACAAUUGAUGCAAAAUGUCCCUACACAGUCCGACGAAUGUGUGUGUGUGCACGGUUUCCCGGUUAUUUUCUCUUUUAAUCAAUCCUCACGAUCGCAUUUUGCUCGACGCUUUCCACAUUUUUUUUCCACCUUUCCUCCUUGAAAUUCGCUCUAGAUUUCUUUUUUUUAAUCUUUUUAAAUCCUCGCACGUGUUGACACAUUCACUCACACUGGUAAAUCGAUUUGGUAGUGGAGGGACCGGGGAGGGGAUGGAGGGCGGAUUGGUUGUGUGAGGGGUGACGGUGGAGUGGUCAGGGUGGGAAUGGGAUAUAUUCGCGGGAUUUGUACCGCACAUAAAGAUGCUGUAAUCAGGCUGAAGUUUGAUGGGGAAAAAGGGGAAGAGGGGAAAAA
Non-coding RNA from Linepithema humile (Argentine ant), 1363 nucleotides. The record is from RefSeq and is a predicted model, not a curated record. NCBI's taxonomy places the organism in Eukaryota, Metazoa, Arthropoda, Insecta, Hymenoptera, Formicidae.